Molecule: ribosomal RNA, 282 nt
Filed under: uncultured Pseudomonas sp.
Lineage: Bacteria; Pseudomonadati; Pseudomonadota; Gammaproteobacteria; Pseudomonadales; Pseudomonadaceae
Description: partial 16S ribosomal RNA
Rfam family: Bacterial small subunit ribosomal RNA
Source: RNAcentral
AACCCUUGUCCUUAGUUACCAGCACGUUAUGGUGGGCACUCUAAGGAGACUGCCGGUGACAACCGGAGGAAGUGGGGAUGACGUCAAGUCAUCAUGGCCCUUACGGCCUGGGCUACACACGUGCUACAAUGGUCGGUACAAAGGGUUGCCAAGCCGCGAGGUGGAGACUAAUCCCAUAAAACCGAUCGUAGUCCGGAUCGCAGUCUGCAACUCGACUGCGUGAAGUCGGAAUCGCUAGUAAUCGUGAAUCAGAAUGUCACGGUGAAUACGUUCCCGGGCCUU